GGGUUGUGAGGUUAAGCGACUAAGCGUACACGGUGGAUGCCCUGGCAGUCAGAGGCGAUGAAGGACGUGCUAAUCUGCGAUAAGCGUCGGUAAGGUGAUAUGAACCGUUAUAACCGGCGAUUUCCGAAUGGGGAAACCCAGUGUGAUUCGACACACUAUCAUUAACUGAAUCCAUAGGUUAAUGAGGCGAACCGGGGGAACUGAAACAUCUAAGUACCCCGAGGAAAAGAAAUCAACCGAGAUUCCCCCAGUAGCGGCGAGCGAACGGGGAGCAGCCCAGAGCCUGAAUCAGUGUGUGUGUUAGUGGAAGCGUCUGGAAAGGCGCGCGAUACAGGGUGACAGCCCCGUACACAAAAAUGCACAUGCUGUGAACUCGAAGAGUAGGGCGGGACACGUGGUAUCCUGUCUGAAUAUGGGGGGACCAUCCUCCAAGGCUAAAUACUCCUGACUGACCGAUAGUGAACCAGUACCGUGAGGGAAAGGCGAAAAGAACCCCGGCGAGGGGAGUGAAAAAGAACCUGAAACCGUGUACGUACAAGCAGUGGGAGCACGCUUCGGCGUGUGACUGCGUACCUUUUGUAUAAUGGGUCAGCGACUUAUAUUCUGUAGCAAGGUUAACCGAAUAGGGGAGCCGAAGGGAAACCGAGUCUUAACUGGGCGUUAAGUUGCAGGGUAUAGACCCGAAACCCGGUGAUCUAGCCAUGGGCAGGUUGAAGGUUGGGUAACACUAACUGGAGGACCGAACCGACUAAUGUUGAAAAAUUAGCGGAUGACUUGUGGCUGGGGGUGAAAGGCCAAUCAAACCGGGAGAUAGCUGGUUCUCCCCGAAAGCUAUUUAGGUAGCGCCUCGUGAAUUCAUCUCCGGGGGUAGAGCACUGUUUCGGCAAGGGGGUCAUCCCGACUUACCAACCCGAUGCAAACUGCGAAUACCGGAGAAUGUUAUCACGGGAGACACACGGCGGGUGCUAACGUCCGUCGUGAAGAGGGAAACAACCCAGACCGCCAGCUAAGGUCCCAAAGUCAUGGUUAAGUGGGAAACGAUGUGGGAAGGCACAGACAGCCAGGAUGUUGGCUUAGAAGCAGCCAUCAUUUAAAGAAAGCGUAAUAGCUCACUGGUCGAGUCGGCCUGCGCGGAAGAUGUAACGGGGCUAAACCAUGCACCGAAGCUGCGGCAGCGACGCUUAUGCGUUGUUGGGUAGGGGAGCGUUCUGUAAGCCGGUGAAGGUGUGCUGUGAGGUAUGCUGGAGGUAUCAGAAGUGCGAAUGCUGACAUAAGUAACGAUAAAGCGGGUGAAAAGCCCGCUCGCCGGAAGACCAAGGGUUCCUGUCCAACGUUAAUCGGGGCAGGGUGAGUCGACCCCUAAGGCGAGGCCGAAAGGCGUAGUCGAUGGGAAACAGGUUAAUAUUCCUGUACUUGGUGUUACUGCGAAGGGGGGACGGAGAAGGCUAUGUUGGCCGGGCGACGGUUGUCCCGGUUUAAGCAUGUAGGCUGGUUUUCCAGGUAAAUCCGGAAAAUCAACGCUGAGGUGUGAUGACGAGGCACUACGGUGCUGAAGUAACAAAUGCCCUGCUUCCAGGAAAAGCCUCUAAGCAUCAGGUAACAUUAAAUCGUACCCCAAACCGACACAGGUGGUCAGGUAGAGAAUACCAAGGCGCUUGAGAGAACUCGGGUGAAGGAACUAGGCAAAAUGGUGCCGUAACUUCGGGAGAAGGCACGCUGAUAUGUAGGUGAAGUCCCUCGCGGAUGGAGCUGACGAGAGUCGCAGAUACCAGGUGGCUGCAA
RNAcentral lists this ribosomal RNA (1782 nucleotides) under Vibrio cholerae. RNAcentral describes it as "bacterial LSU rRNA". It matches the Rfam family "Bacterial large subunit ribosomal RNA", at positions 1 to 1799 of the family's 2925-position model. The record is from RNAcentral. Lineage: Bacteria; Pseudomonadati; Pseudomonadota; Gammaproteobacteria; Vibrionales; Vibrionaceae.